Molecule: long non-coding RNA, 294 nt
Organism: Polypterus senegalus (gray bichir)
Lineage: Eukaryota; Metazoa; Chordata; Cladistia; Polypteriformes; Polypteridae
Exons: 3
Source: RefSeq, a predicted model, not a curated record
AUGGGGAUGACUCGAGUCUCUUGGACAGUCCUUCUUUUAAACCACAUCCUUUGGUUAAUUUUACGUAUAUUUGUGCGCCGGACAAGAUUCCUCUGGUUUUAUAUGAGGGAGCACAAAUGAGUCAUUUGGAUUUGGAGAGCAAGUAGGCAGCUGUGCAGGCUAUCCAAACCAAAGUAAUUGUGGAAAUGCGGAGUACAAAGUCACCAAGUGUCUGAUGACUUGUACAACCUGGGAGAAAUCUUGUCCAUCUCAGCUUGGGUAUGUCUCUGCAAAAAACAGAGGGAUGCCCUUGAC